This 1173-nucleotide long non-coding RNA is filed under the name Anser cygnoides (Swan goose). RNAcentral describes it as "lncRNA (ENSACDG00005006151.1)". Lineage: Eukaryota; Metazoa; Chordata; Aves; Anseriformes; Anatidae. The record is from RNAcentral.
AGUACGAGCGCGGGCACCGGGCGCAGAGCCGGCUCGUUCCUGCGAGCCUCCCCCCCUCCGGUCGCUCGCGUGUCGCGACACCGGACGCUACCGCCGCUCGUUCGCGAUAGCCGCGUGGGUCGCGACAAAGCGGUCGCAAAGGAGAGAGCCGCGGAGCGGCGCGGAGCCAACUCGGGCGGGCGGGAGCCGGGCGCACCUCGGGGCGGCGGCGCCGGGAGCCCGAUUCGGAGUCAGCUCUGCUCCGGAGCCAGAGCGGAGCCGCCGCGCCCCAAGGGGUCCCGGAGCCCCCUCCUCGCCCGGACCGCGGCGGGUCGCCGGCUGUGCCCUCAACCCCUUCUCCAUCCCCAUCCUCAUCCCCAUCUUCAUCUUCAUCCCCAUCUUCAUCUUCAUCCCCAUCCCUAUCUUCAUCCUCAUCUUCAUCCUCAUCCUCAUACCUACCCCUUUCUCCAUGCCCAUCCCCUUCUCCAUCCUCGUCCUCACCCCUACCCUCACCCCCAUCCCCUUCUCCAUCCCCAUCCCCUAAGUUUCCACGCCGCCACCCCGGCUCAGGGGCAGCCUCCAAACUUCCCCGCCGCUCUGCCAGCAGCGGCACCGGGGGCAUCACCGGCUCCGCAAAGUUCCCCGGGCUGCCGCCCCUUACCUCCGCGGGCUCCCGCUGCCCGGCCGCCGGCCGGGAAUCCCCAGAGCGCUGCCGCCAGGGCCAGGAGGAGCGCGGGCAUCGCGGCGGGCGCGGAGCGGCGGCGGCAGCUCCGCCGUGCGCGGGGACCGGGGAGCGGCAGCGGCAGCAGCAGAAGCAGCGGCAGCAGCGGGGCUUUGCGGCUCCGGGCUCACCGCACGNNNNNNNNNNNNNNNNNNNNUUUACUUUCUUUUUUUUCAUCUUUUUCCCUUAUUUCAUCUUUUUCCUUUUAUAUUUCACCUUUUUCCCUUAUUUCAUCUUUUUCCUUUUUUAUUCUACCUUUUCCUUUUCUAUUCCAUCUUCUCCUUCUUAUUCCAUCUUCUCCUUUUUAUUCCAUCUUUUUCCUUUUGUAUUUCAUCAUUUCCUUUUUUAUUUCAUCAUUUCCUUUUUUAUUUCAUCAUUUCCUUUUUUAUUUCAUCUUUUCCUUUUUUAUUUCAUCUUUUCCUUUUUUAUUCCAUCCUUUUCCUUUUUUAUUUCCUCUCUUUUUCAAUCUUUAA